GAUGAAUGCUGGCGGCGUGCCUAACACAUGCAAGUCGAGCGGCAGCGCGGGGUGCUUGCACCCUGUCGGCGAGCGGCGAACGGCUGAGUAACGCGUGGAAAUUUUCCCCAAAAUGAGGAAUAACUGCCCGGAAGGGUAGCUAAUGCCGCGAAUGGUCUUCGAAUCAAAGGAUUUAUCCGCGUUGGUAGAAGCUUGCGUUGGAUUAGGUUGUUGGUAGGGUAAUGGCCUACGAAGCCGACGAUCCAUAGCUGGUAUGAGAGGAUGAUCAGCCAGACUGGAUCUGAGACACGGUCCAGACUCCUACGGGAGGCAGCAGUGAGGAAUCUUCCACAAUGGGCGAAAGCCUGAUGGAGCAACGCCGCGUGAAGGAUGAAGGCCUUCGGGUUGUAAACUUCUUUUAUGAGUGAAGAAUAUGACGGUAACUCAUGAAUAAGCACCGGCUAACUACGUG
This 451-nucleotide ribosomal RNA is filed under the name uncultured bacterium. RNAcentral's name for it is "partial 16S ribosomal RNA". It matches the Rfam family "Bacterial small subunit ribosomal RNA", at positions 28 to 507 of the family's 1533-position model. The record is from RNAcentral.